This 250-nucleotide ribosomal RNA is filed under the name uncultured bacterium. RNAcentral's name for it is "partial 16S ribosomal RNA". It matches the Rfam family "Bacterial small subunit ribosomal RNA", at positions 57 to 305 of the family's 1533-position model. The record is from RNAcentral.
GCAAGUCGAACGGUAACAUUUCUAGCUUGCUAGAAGAUGACGAGUGGCGAACGGGUGAGUAACGCGUAGGAAUAUACCUUUUUGUGGGGGACAACUUUAGGAAACUGAAGCUAAUACCGCAUAAUAUCUUCGGAUAAAAGCUGGGGACCUUCGGGCCUGGUGCAAAGAGAUUAGCCUGCGUCCGAUUAGCUAGUUGGUAGGGUAAAGGCCUACCAAGGCGACGAUCGGUAGCUGUUCUGAGAGGAAGAUC